UGUUACAAUUGUCUUCACUGAGAGAAGAAGGCUGCGCUCACCUGGAUCCAAACUGAGAGCACAGGCGGUGCAAGGAACAAAGCACUGAUCCAAUAGAAAAAAGUUUACAAAGCCCAGAAUACAGAAAUAUAAAAUCCAGCUUUUAUUGUUCCAAGACGUAAA
Long non-coding RNA from Bufo bufo (common toad), 162 nucleotides. RefSeq lists it as uncharacterized. The record is from RefSeq and is a predicted model, not a curated record. NCBI's taxonomy places the organism in Eukaryota, Metazoa, Chordata, Amphibia, Anura, Bufonidae. The transcript has 3 exons.